UUGCAUACAUCUGUCAUUUUCCAAGGAGUGACACUUAAUGUUUAUGGUUAUUCUGGAACCCUAGAUUGCCAUAAUGCUUUUGCCUUGCUUGUGAGGCCACCAACAGAGCAGGCAAAUGUGCUGCUCAGUUUCCAGAUGACAUCAGAUGAACUUCCAAAAGAAAACUGGCUAAAGAUGCUGUGUCGACAUGUAGCUAACACCAUUUGUAAAGCAGAUGCUGAGAAUCUUAUUUAUACGGCUGAUCCAGAAUCCUUUGAAGUAAAUACAAAAGAUAUGGACAGUACAUUGAGUAGAGCAUCAAGAGCAAUAAAAAAGACUUCAAAAAAGGUUACAAGAGCAUUCUCUUUCUCCAAAACUCCAAAAAGAGCUCUUCGAAGGGCUCUUAUGACAUCCCAUGGCUCAGUGGAGGGAAGAAGUCCUUCCAGCAAUGAUAAGCAUGUAAUGAGUCGUCUUUCUAGCACAUCAUCAUUAGCAAUUACCCAUUCUGUUUCCACAAGCAAUGUAAUUGGAUUUACUAAGCAUGUUUAUGUUCAGUGCCUAAACUCUACUGGUGGGCGCUCUCAGUACUCCUGGUUUCAAUCUGUACGUCAUUCUGCUUUCCGAGCUAGUUUUUCAGAGAUACUAGAAGGAAAUACUGAUUUUUCAAAUUUCAAAAAAGUUCUUUCCAAGUCAUCUUUGACAUUUGUGAAGAAUUAGGAGAUUUGCCAACCACUAAUGGAAACAAGCCUCAUGAAGUUUAAUGGUAUCCCUUCUCCCUCCCUUGUCAGCCUUCCUUCCUUCUUUGAAAGGAGAAGUCAUACGUUAAGUAGAUCUACAACUCAUUUGAUAUGAAGCGUUACCAAAAUCUUAAAUUAUAGAAAUGUAUAGACACCUCAUACUCAAAUAAGAAACUGACUUAAAUGGUA
This 905-nucleotide small RNA is filed under the name Pan troglodytes (chimpanzee). RNAcentral's name for it is "retained intron". Lineage: Eukaryota; Metazoa; Chordata; Mammalia; Primates; Hominidae. The record is from RNAcentral.